UCUCAACUGAUUUAGAAGAGAAGCAUUUAUUAGAUAAAAAACCAAUAUAUGUUUUUAAAGCAUAUAAGUUGGUGAUUUAGAAUAACUAAGCAAAUCGCACAGUGUAAACUGGCGAUAAAUCAUUCAAGUUUCUGACCUAUCAGCUUUCGACGGUAAGGUAUUGGCUUACCGUGGCAGUGACGGUUAACGGGGAAUUAGGGUUCAAUUCCGGAGAGGGAGCCUGAGAAACGGCUACCACAUCUAAGGAAGGCAGCAGGCGCGCAAAUUACCCAAUUCUAAUAGCAUAAGAGAGGUAGUGACAAGAAAUAACAGUACAAGGCAGAUAAAAUGCUUUGUAAUUGGAAUGAUAGAAAUUUAAAUACUUUUUAAAGUAUCAAUUGGAGGGCAAGUCUGGUGCCAGCAGCCGCGGUAAUUCCAGCUCCAAUAGCGUAUAUUAAAAUUGUUGCAGUUAAAAAGCUCGUAGUUGAAUUUUUGCUAAAAAUAACCGGUCUGCUUUUAUUAAUAAAAGUGGUAUCUUGGUGUGUUUUUAGCAAUAAUGUCCUUUGAAAUGUGUUUUACUUUAUUGUAAAUAGCAAUUUUCAGGAUUUUUACUUUGAGAAAAUUAGAGUGUUUCAAGCAGGCUAACGUUUUGAAUACUGCAGCAUGGAAUAAUAAGA
RNAcentral lists this ribosomal RNA (656 nucleotides) under Hepatozoon sp. Its description in RNAcentral is "SSU rRNA". It matches the Rfam family "Eukaryotic small subunit ribosomal RNA", at positions 181 to 822 of the family's 1831-position model. The record is from RNAcentral. Lineage: Eukaryota; Apicomplexa; Hepatozoidae.